CUCUUAGGCAAAUCCGGGAUCACUUACGCCGAGCACCGAGACGAGUCCUAUGAGGACGAAGUGACUGACAUCACGCUUCCAGGAAAAGCCACUAAGCUUCAGCUUAAGAAAAACCGUACCGCAAACCGACACAGGUAGGCAGGGUGAGAAUCCCAAGGCGCUUGAGAGAACUCGGGUGAAGGAACUAGGCAAAAUGGCACCGUAACUUCGGGAGAAGGUGCGCCCUUUGGUGUGGUCACGUGCGUGACUGAGCAUCGAAGGGUCGCAGUAACCUGGCCGCUGCGACUGUUUAUCAAAAACACAGCACUCUGCAAACACGAAAGUGGACGUAUAGGGUGUGACGCCUGCCCGGUGCUGGAAGGUUAAUUGAUGGGGUCAGCCGCAAGGCGAAGCUCUUGAUCGAAGCCCCAGUAAACGGCGGCCGUAACAAUAACGGUCCUAAGGUAGCGAAAUUCCUUGUCGGGUAAGUUCCGACCUGCACGAAUGGCGUAACGACAGCGGCGCUGUCUCCACCCGAGACUCAGUGAAAUUGAAAUCGCUGUGAAGAUGCAGCGUUCCCGCGGCAAGACGGAAAGACCCCGUGAACCUUUACUAUAGCUUUACACUGAACGUUGAGUUCUUCUGUGUAGGAUAGGUGGGAGGCUAUGAAACCAGGACGCUAGUUCUGGUGGAGCCAUCCUUGAAAUACCACCCUGAAGUGCUUGACGUUCUAACCUAGGCCCGUAAUCCGGGUCAGGGACCGUGUAUGGUGGGUAGUUUGACUGGGGCGGUCUCCUCCCAAAGAGUAACGGAGGAGCACGAAGGUACGCUCAGCGCGGUCGGACAUCGCGCACUGUGUGCAAAGGCAUAAGCGUGCUUGACUGCGAGAUCGACGGAUCAAGCAGGUACGAAAGUAGGUCUUAGUGAUCCGGUGGUUCUGUAUGGAAGGGCCAUCGCUCAACGGAUAAAAGGUACUCCGGGGAUAACAGGCUGAUACCGCCCAAGAGUUCAUAUCGACGGCGGUGUUUGGCACCUCGAUGUCGGCUCAUCACAUCCUGGGGCUGUAGCCGGUCCCAAGGGUAUGGCUGUUCGCCAUUUAAAGUGGUACGCGAGCUGGGUUCAGAACGUCGUGAGACAGUUCGGUCCCUAUCUGUCGUGGGCGUUGGAGAUUUGAGGGGGGCUGCUCCUAGUACGAGAGGACCGGAGUGGACGUUCCGCUGGUGUUCGGGUUGUCAUGCCCAUGGCAUUGCCCGGUAGCUACGAACGGAAGUGAUAACCGCUGAAAGCAUCUAAGCGGGAAGCACGCCCCAAGAUGAGAUCUCCCGAGAGCUUGACUCUCCUAAAGGCACCAUCAAGACUAGGUGGUUGAUAGGUCAGGUGUGGAAGCGCAGCAAUGCGUUGAGCUAACUGAUACUAAUGAGCCGUGAGGCUUGACCG
Molecule: ribosomal RNA, 1416 nt
Filed under: metagenome
Description: bacterial LSU rRNA
Rfam family: Bacterial large subunit ribosomal RNA
Source: RNAcentral